Long non-coding RNA from Onychostoma macrolepis, 372 nucleotides. RefSeq lists it as uncharacterized. Lineage: Eukaryota; Metazoa; Chordata; Actinopteri; Cypriniformes; Cyprinidae. The record is from RefSeq and is a predicted model, not a curated record. The transcript has 3 exons.
UCAAAGCCGUGGGUACCAUUGACUGACAUUAUAUGACUGACAGACUGCAACGGCUUGAGUUAAAAAUAUUCAUUUGUGUUCUACUGAAGAAACAAAGUCACCUACAUCUUGGAUGCCCUGGGGUUAGUGCAUAGCGCUUCUUCCUGCGGGAUCCAGACAUGCCCCCAAGCAGGUCUGGUACCCCACAUCUGGGUUUCUUCAUCCAGCUAGAGGAGAAAAAAGAGCAAAGGGAGGAGGCGUAAGGCUCCCUGUGAUGUUUAGUCCAUACUUGUGCUGCAUGGCAGCAAUAGCGGAAUGCAUGGCUUGGGCUGAUCGCAGGACAGCCAUGUUAGGUUGUGUCUUGUGGAGGUAGCCAUACCUCUGUAACCACAC